This 306-nucleotide ribosomal RNA is filed under the name Triticum aestivum (bread wheat). RNAcentral describes it as "partial small subunit ribosomal RNA". Lineage: Eukaryota; Viridiplantae; Streptophyta; Magnoliopsida; Poales; Poaceae. The record is from RNAcentral.
AUGAUGCAGCUUCACUGCUACCCUGACGCCAUCAAGGCCGAAGACGAUGGCGGCGGUUCGAUGCGCGGCGAGGAGGCUCGGUGGCUCCCUGCUCCAGCGAGCGCAGGCGGAGGAGCGACGCCGGCUCGUGCCAAGGAGGCUCAUGCGCUCCCGCCACCUCUCCACCGAGGAAGCAAAAGAGAUCCAGCAGAAGAAGGAGGCGCUGUAUCUCCAGAACAGAGUUCUUUGAGAAAUCAGGCCUACUUUUGUUCUAUUAAUCUACUCCUAACAUAUUGGUUGUUUCUUCAAGAACAGAGGGAAACGUGA